This 676-nucleotide ribosomal RNA is filed under the name bacterium enrichment culture clone F11 1.697-1. RNAcentral describes it as "bacterial SSU rRNA". It matches the Rfam family "Bacterial small subunit ribosomal RNA", at positions 8 to 660 of the family's 1533-position model. The record is from RNAcentral.
AGAGUUUGAUCCUGGCUCAGAACGAACGCUGGCGGCGUGCUUAACACAUGCAAGUCGAACGCGAAAGGGACUUCGGUCCCGAGUAGAGUGGCGCACGGGUGAGUAACGCGUAAGUAAUCUACCCCUGUAUCUGGAAUAACCCACCGAAAGGUGAGCUAAUACCGGAUACGUUUAUCUUGAUGCGAAUGAUGAUAAAGAAAGGUGGCCUCUUCAUGAAAGCUACCGUACAGGGACGAGCUUGCGUACCAUUAGCUGGUUGGUAGGGUAAUGGCCUACCAAGGCGACGAUGGUUAGCGGGUCUGAGAGGAUGAUCCGCCACACUGGAACUGAAACACGGACCAGACUCCUACGGGAGGCAGCAGUGAGGAAUAUUGCGCAAUGGGGGCAACCCUGACGCAGCGACGCCGCGUGGACGAUGAAGGCCCUUGGGUCGUAAAAUCCUGUCAGAUGGAAAGAAAUGUACAGGUGUUAAUAUCGCCUGUAUUUGACGGUACCAUCAAAGGAAGCACCGGCUGACUCCGUGCCAGCAGCCGCGGUAAUACGGAGGGUGCGAGCGUUGUUCGGAAUUACUGGGCGUAAAGCGCGCGUAGGCGGUUUGCUAAGUCAGAUGUGAAAGCCCUCGGCUUAACCGGGGACGUGCAUUUGAAACUGGCAGACUUGAGUACUGGAGGGGGUG